CUCGACCUUGUGCGUUUGUGUCGAGAAUUUAUCGUUGAGCCAACACUCAGUAUUAGGGAACCGUUUUCCGAAGGCGGACACAAUGCCCCGGCAACAAGGGGACUGUGAAGGCCCGAGGUAGGUGCCCACCUGCUAGGAGCAGGUUCAUGGUAUCGGCGGAGACGGCAAGGUGGAG
RNAcentral lists this non-coding RNA (175 nucleotides) under Candidatus Solincola sediminis. RNAcentral's name for it is "Actinobacteria bacterium RBG_16_55_12 6S RNA". It matches the Rfam family "6S / SsrS RNA". From Rfam's summary of the family: E. coli 6S RNA was the first non coding RNA to be sequenced, but its function was unknown until recently. It consists of 184 nucleotides that fold into an extended hairpin structure with a large single-stranded internal bulge. The 6S RNA specifically associates with RNA polymerase holoenzyme containing the sigma70 specificity factor. The record is from RNAcentral. Lineage: Bacteria; Bacillati; Actinomycetota; Candidatus Geothermincolia; Candidatus Geothermincolales; Candidatus Geothermincolaceae. RNAcentral also lists the same sequence under 1 other name.